This 76-nucleotide transfer RNA is filed under the name uncultured Chromatiales bacterium. RNAcentral's name for it is "tRNA-Ala". It matches the Rfam family "tRNA". From Rfam's summary of the family: Transfer RNA (tRNA) molecules are approximately 80 nucleotides in length. Their secondary structure includes four short double-helical elements and three loops (D, anti-codon, and T loops). Further hydrogen bonds mediate the characteristic L-shaped molecular structure. tRNAs have two regions of fundamental functional importance: the anti-codon, which is responsible for specific mRNA codon recognition, and the 3' end, to which the tRNAs corresponding amino acid is attached (by aminoacyl-tRNA synthetases). tRNAs cope with the degeneracy of the genetic code in two manners: having more than one tRNA (with a specific anti-codon) for a particular amino acid; and 'wobble' base-pairing, i.e. permitting non-standard base-pairing at the 3rd anti-codon position. The record is from RNAcentral. Lineage: Bacteria; Pseudomonadati; Pseudomonadota; Gammaproteobacteria; Chromatiales.
GGCCAUAGCUCAGACGGGAGAGCACCUGCUUUGCAAGCAGGGGUCGGCGGUUCGAUCCCGCCUGGCUCCCCCAGGC